CAGUCGCCGCGGUAAUACGAAGGGUGCAAGCGUUAAUCGAAAUUACUGGGCGUAAAGCGUGCGUAGGCGGUGAGUUAAGUCUGCUGUGAAAUCCCCGGGCUCAACCUGGGAAUGGCAGUGGAUACUGGCUCGCUAGAGUGUGUCAGAGGAUGGUGGAAUUCCCGGUGUAGCGGUGAAAUGCGUAGAGACCGGGAGGAACAUCAGUGGCGAAGGCGGCCAUCUGGGACAACACUGACGCUGAGGCACGAAAGCGUGGGGAGCAAACAGGAUUAGAUACCCCCGUAGUCCCUGUCUCUUAUAC
Molecule: ribosomal RNA, 301 nt
Filed under: uncultured bacterium
Lineage: Bacteria
Description: partial 16S ribosomal RNA
Rfam family: Bacterial small subunit ribosomal RNA
Source: RNAcentral